Non-coding RNA from Podarcis lilfordi (Lilford's wall lizard), 73 nucleotides. Lineage: Eukaryota; Metazoa; Chordata; Lepidosauria; Squamata; Lacertidae. The record is from the annotation of a GenBank genome assembly.
GGAAUACCUCAGAUGGUAGAGCAUGAAACUCUUAAUCUCAGAGUCAUGGGUUCAAGCCACAUACCUUGGAACA